RNAcentral lists this ribosomal RNA (433 nucleotides) under uncultured bacterium. RNAcentral's name for it is "partial 16S ribosomal RNA". It matches the Rfam family "Bacterial small subunit ribosomal RNA", at positions 29 to 507 of the family's 1533-position model. The record is from RNAcentral.
AACGAACGCUGGCGGCAUGCCUAACACAUGCAAGUCGAACGAAGGCUUCGGCCUUUGUGGCGCACGGGUGCGUAACGCGUGGGAAUCUGCCCUUUGGUUCGGAAUAACAGCUGGAAACGGCUGCUAAUACCGGAUGAUGACGAAAGUCCAAAGAUUUAUCGCCAGAGGAUGAGCCCGCGUUGGAUUAGGUAGUUGGUGGGGUAAUGGCCUACCAAGCCGACGAUCCAUAGCUGGUCUGAGAGGAUGAUCAGCCACACUGGGACUGAGACACGGCCCAGACUCCUACGGGAGGGAGCAGUGGGGAAUAUUGGACAAUGGGGGCAAGCCUGAUCCAGCAAUGCCGGGUGAGUGAUGAAGGCCGUAGGGUAGUAAAGCUCUUUUACCCGGGAAGAUAAUGACUGUACCGGGAGAAUAAGCCCCGGCUAACUCCGUG